AGGAAUAUUGGUCAAUGGGCGCGAGCCUGAACCAGCCAAGUAGCGUGAAGGAUGAAGGUCCUACGGAUUGUAAACUUCUUUUAUAAGGGAAUAAAGUCAUCUACGUGUAGGUGUUUGUAUGUACCUUAUGAAUAAGCAUCGGCUAACUCCGUGCCAGCAGCCGCGGUAAUACGGAGGAUGCGAGCGUUAUCCGGAUUUAUUGGGUUUAAAGGGAGCGUAGACGGGUCGUUAAGUCAGCUGUGAAAGUUUGGGGCUCAACCUUAAAAUUGCAGUUGAUACUGGCGUCCUUGAGUACGGUUGAGGCAGGCGGAAUUCGUGGUGUAGCGGUGAAAUGCUUAGAUAUCACGAAGAACCCCGAUUGCGAAGGCAGCCUGCUAAACCGCCACUGACGUUGAGGCUCGAAAGUGUGGGUAUCAAACAGGAUUAGAUACCCUGGUAGUCCACACGGUAAACGAUGAAUACUCGCUGUUUGCGAUAUACUGCAAGCGGCCAAGCGAAAGCGUUAAGUAUUCCACCUGGGGAGUACGCCGGCAACGGUGAAACUCAAAGGAAUUGACGGGGGCCCGCACAAGCGGAGGAACAUGUGGUUUAAUUCGAUGAUACGCGAGGAACCUUACCCGGGCUUAAAUUGCAGAUGAAUUACGGUGAAAGCCGUAAGCCGCAAGGCAUCUGUGAAGGUGCUGCAUGGUUGUCGUCAGCUCGUGCCGUGAGGUGUCGGCUUAAGUGCCAUAACGAGCGCAACCCUUGUUGUCAGUUACUAACAGGUUCCGCUGAGGACUCUGACAAGACUGCCAUCGUAAGAUGUGAGGAAGGUGGGGAUGACGUCAAAUCAGCACGGCCCUUACGUCCGGGGCUACACACGUGUUACAAUGGGGGGUACAGAGGGCCGCUACCACGCGAGUGGAUGCCAAUCCCCAAAACCUCUCUCAGUUCGGACUGGAGUCUGCAACCCGACUCCACGAAGCUGGAUUCGCUAGUAAUCGCGCAUCAGCCACGGCGCGGUGAAUACGUUCCCG
RNAcentral lists this ribosomal RNA (1016 nucleotides) under uncultured bacterium. RNAcentral's name for it is "bacterial SSU rRNA". It matches the Rfam family "Bacterial small subunit ribosomal RNA", at positions 357 to 1376 of the family's 1533-position model. The record is from RNAcentral.